RNAcentral lists this ribosomal RNA (377 nucleotides) under uncultured bacterium. RNAcentral's name for it is "bacterial SSU rRNA". It matches the Rfam family "Bacterial small subunit ribosomal RNA", at positions 523 to 898 of the family's 1533-position model. The record is from RNAcentral.
ACACGUAGGGGGCAAGCGUUGUCCGGAAUUACUGGGCGUAAAGGGCGUGUAGGCGGAUAAUUAAGUCAGAUGUGAAACCUCUGGGCUCAACCCAGAGCAUGCAUCUGAUACUGGUGAUCUUGAGUGUAGAAGAGGAGAGUGGAAUUCCUAGUGUAGCGGUGAAAUGCGUAGAUAUUAGGAGGAACACCAGUGGCGAAGGCGACUCUCUGGUCUACAACUGACGCUGAGGCGCGAAAGCGUGGGUAGCAAACAGGAUUAGAUACCCUGGUAGUCCACGCUGUAAACGAUGGGUACUAGGUGUUGGGGGUUUCGACGCCCUCAGUGCCGGAGUAAACACAUUAAGUACCCCGCCUGGAGAGUACGGUCGCAAGACUGAA